CUGUGCUAAGUGGGGAACUAGCGGUGCCCUGCACUCGCAAUCCGCUCUAGCGAGACUGAAUUCCCCCUCGAGGCACGGCUCUGUGGGACUGCAUCAGUCUCUUCUGUGAGGAAGGUUGGGUCCCGCGCGGCGGUGGCCCGCGAACCUGGUCAGAUCCGGAAGGAAGCAGCCAUAAGUGGUACCCACUGGGUGUCGUGGGGUUGCCUGACCGGAGCAGAGAGGCUGCGUGCAAGCCGGAGAGUCGCAUGUCGACAGGGGGUGCACAG
This 266-nucleotide signal recognition particle RNA is filed under the name Sphaerobacteraceae bacterium. RNAcentral's name for it is "signal recognition particle sRNA large type". It matches the Rfam family "Bacterial large signal recognition particle RNA". From Rfam's summary of the family: The signal recognition particle (SRP) is a universally conserved ribonucleoprotein involved in the co-translational targeting of proteins to membranes. Archaeal SRP consists of a 7S RNA and homologues of the eukaryotic SRP19 and SRP54 proteins. Lineage: Bacteria; Pseudomonadati; Thermomicrobiota; Thermomicrobia; Sphaerobacterales; Sphaerobacteraceae. The record is from RNAcentral.